GGGGUCUAUGGGGUGUCUAUGGGGUGAGUGAGGGUCUGUGGGGUGUCUAAUGGGGUCUAUAGGGUCUAUGGGGUGUCUAUGGGGUAUCUGGGGUGAGUGAGUGUCUAUUGGGGUCUAUGGGGUGUCAAUAGGGGUCUAUGGGGUGUCUGUGGGGUGAGUGAGUGUCUAUUGGGGUCUAUGGGGUGUCAAUAGGGGUCUGUGGGGUGAGUAAGUGUCUAUUGGGGUCUAUGGGGUGUCUAUGGGGUGUCAAUAGGGGUCUAUGGGGUGUCAGUAGGGGUCUAUGGGGUGUCUAUAGGGUCUAUGGGUUCUGUGGGGGUCUAUGGGGUGUCAGUAGGGGUCUGUGGGGUGUGUCAGUAAGGGUCUAUGGGGGUGUCAAUAGGGCGGUUAUUGGGGUCUAUUGCGGGGUGAG
RNAcentral lists this long non-coding RNA (409 nucleotides) under Coturnix japonica (Japanese quail). RNAcentral's name for it is "lncRNA (ENSCJPG00005004800.1)". Lineage: Eukaryota; Metazoa; Chordata; Aves; Galliformes; Phasianidae. The record is from RNAcentral.